CACCAGGUAUUCCCACCCACCAGAAGCUGGCUGUUGUACUCACCCGGAACCAUGGUGCACCACCACAGCGGCGAGGUCAUACAGGCAGCUCUCCGGGCCACUGUUCUCAGGCUACAGAACAAGGAAGAAGGAGCAGUGGUCAAUGACAUCAGUAUCUCGAUGACCUCUACCCUCUCCAUGUGAUGACAAUCUUACUGAAGAGCCAUUUUUUCACCAUGCUAAAAAGGUAUACUGCUGAGAAAGAAUCACAUGAAAAGAAAAAAGACUCAACAAGACCUCACUCAUAUUAACUGGACUCUACAAGCAGUGAGCAUCCAGACCUGCAUUUGGUUACAAAAGAAGCCUUCAAGCUAUUUUCAUCAGCUUCCUAAUCAAGUUAAAAAAUAAACCACAAAACUGAGUAUCCA
This 407-nucleotide non-coding RNA is filed under the name Pan troglodytes (chimpanzee). The record is from RNAcentral. Lineage: Eukaryota; Metazoa; Chordata; Mammalia; Primates; Hominidae.